This 253-nucleotide ribosomal RNA is filed under the name uncultured bacterium. RNAcentral describes it as "partial 16S ribosomal RNA". It matches the Rfam family "Bacterial small subunit ribosomal RNA", at positions 524 to 776 of the family's 1533-position model. The record is from RNAcentral.
UACGGAGGGGGCAAGCGUUAUUCGGAAUUAUUGGGCGUAAAGGGCGCGUAGGCGGCUAGAUGUGUCAAAGGUGAAAUCCCACGGCUCACCCGUGGAACUGCUUGGUAUACUGGGUGUCUUGAGCCACUUAGGGGCUACCGGAACAAAUGGUGGAGCGGUGAAAUGCGUAGAUAUUAGGAAGAACACCAGUGGCGAAGGCGGCUCACUGGACUGGUACUGACGCUGAGGCGCGAAAGCGUGGGGAGCAAACAGG